This 445-nucleotide ribosomal RNA is filed under the name uncultured bacterium. Its description in RNAcentral is "partial 16S ribosomal RNA". It matches the Rfam family "Bacterial small subunit ribosomal RNA", at positions 354 to 796 of the family's 1533-position model. The record is from RNAcentral.
GUGAGGAAUAUUGCGCAAUGGAGGCAACUCUGACGCAGCCAUGCCGCGUGCAGGAAGAAGGCGCUACGCGUUGUAAACUGCUUUUAACCGGGAAGAAACCCCAGGACGUGUCCUGGGUUGACGGUACCGGAGGAAUAAGCACCGGCUAACUUCGUGCCAGCAGCCGCGGUAAUACGAAGGGUGCAAGCGUUAUCCGGAUUCAUUGGGUUUAAAGGGUGCGUAGGCGGAGCGUUAAGUCAGUGGUGAAUUCCUGCAGCUUAACUGUAGACUUGCCAUUGAUACUGGCGCUCUUGAGUGCGCUUGAAGUGGGCGGAAUGUGCCGUGUAGCGGUGAAAUGCUUAGAUAUGGCACAGAACACCAAUUGCGAAGGCAGCUCACUAAGGCGAUACUGACGCUGAGGCACAAAAGCGUGGGGAUCGAACAGGAUUAGAAACCCUAGUAGUCC